This 500-nucleotide ribosomal RNA is filed under the name uncultured Myrionecta. RNAcentral describes it as "bacterial SSU rRNA". It matches the Rfam family "Eukaryotic small subunit ribosomal RNA", at positions 1211 to 1798 of the family's 1831-position model. Lineage: Eukaryota; Ciliophora; Litostomatea; Cyclotrichida; Mesodiniidae. The record is from RNAcentral.
AAACUUACCAGGUCAAGACAUGGGCGUGAUUGACAGGCUAAUGACUUUUCUCGAUUCCAUGGAUGUUGGUGCAUGGUCGCACUUAGUUGGUGCAGUGAUUUGUCAGGUUUAUUCCGGUAACGAACGAGACCUCGGCCUUGUAAAUAGCUAUGCUGCUUACAGGGACAUUGGCGGCUACGCCAAGGAAGCUCGAGGCAAUUGCAGAUCUGGAAUGCCCUUAGAUGUCCUGGGUCGCACGCGUGCUACAAUGACGCCACGAACGAGCUUGCGUGAUGAAAGUUACGCAUAAUCAGCAGUCGGCGUCUUAAGGGAUAGUCUCUUGUAACUGUGGGACUCCAACUAGGAAUGUCUCGUAAGCACAAGUCAACAUCUUGUGUUGAUUACGUCCCUGCUCUUUGUACACACCGCCCGUCGCUCCUACCGAUCGAGUGUUUAGGUGAAUUUGAUGGACGUAAGGAAGUCAAAUAAACCUGAGCACUAGAGAAGAGAAGUCGAGCAUC